AUUAUACUCCCUCCGUCCCAAAAUUCUUGUCUUAGAUUUGUCUAUAUAUGAAUGUAUCUAGUCACAUUUUAGUAUGUAGAUACAUACAUUUCUAGACAAACUUAAGACAAUAAUUUUGGGACGGAGGGAGUAUUUA
RNAcentral lists this microRNA precursor (136 nucleotides) under Hordeum vulgare. Its description in RNAcentral is "microRNA MIR1122". It matches the Rfam family "MIR1120/MIR1122 microRNA precursor family". Lineage: Eukaryota; Viridiplantae; Streptophyta; Magnoliopsida; Poales; Poaceae. The record is from RNAcentral.